Phragmites australis (common reed) is the source of this 2110-nucleotide RNA transcript. It is a transcript of the gene named probable DNA primase large subunit, with no coding region annotated. The record is from RefSeq and is a predicted model, not a curated record. The transcript is spliced from 21 exons. NCBI's taxonomy places the organism in Eukaryota, Viridiplantae, Streptophyta, Magnoliopsida, Poales, Poaceae.
CCCGAGAAAGAAACAAUCCCCAAGCCCAUUCUCCCGCCGCCCCGCCCGAGUCUCAGAAAGAGAGAGAGAGAGAGAGAGAGAGAGAGAGAGGGAAGGAGAGCAAGCUCGUCGCGUCCACAUCGCGAUUCAAACCAAACCCUAGCCAGACGCAUGGAAAUCGUGCGAUCCCAACGGCAGCUCGCGGCCGGCGGCGGCGGCGGCGGAGGCGGCUCGAGGGGCCUGCCGACCUACCGGGCGGCGCCGCAGCUGGAGGUGCGGCUGGAGGAAUUUGAGCUCUUCGCCAUCGAUCGCCUCCGAGUUCUGAAGGGGAUCUCGGAUGGGCUCUCGCGGGGGAAGAGGCCGGAGGAGAUGGAGAAACUGGUCAGUGAGUUGUGGAAGGGACACAUGAGGCACCAGGAUCCAGCAGAGACUUUGAACAAGGAUGUAUUAUCUCACUUUGUGCUCCGCCUUGUCUACUGUAGAACGGAAGAAUUGCGAAAGUGGUUUCUCUCCAUGGAAACUACUCUUUUUCGGUAUCGCUUUCGGCUCGAGAGUCCUGAAUCACAGAGGAUGCUUAUGAGUGAGUUUCAACUGCCAUACAAAGCAUUGCCACACGCAGAAUUUGAGGCUGUGAAAGACAAGUUGAGCCAAGUUGUGCGUUCCAUUGGUCAAUCUGCAAUUGUUGAGUCUGUGUUCUUCAAGGUACCAUUUGAGGAAGUUCCUGAUCUUGUCGCCAGCCGCCGAGUAUUUCUUUCGAAAGGCUAUGCUUAUGUUGCGAUGAGUCAGGUGGUUUCACUUGCGGUUACCCAAUUCCGCUGCAAUAUCUCGAAGGCACUUGUUUUAACAAACAGAAAAUGGACCGCAACCAUUAAGGAACAAGAAAAGGACAGGUUGACUCCUAUUGUUGAAGCAUUAAGCAAUGCAUAUUUUGGACCUGAUUACUCUCAGCCAAAGGAUGCUGUCGAAAUUUCUCUGAAGGAUAUCGACCAACUGUCUAGAACUUCUUUCCCUCUUUGUAUGCGCCAUAUGUUAGAUAAGUUGAGAGAAAACCAUCAUCUGAAGCAUGGGGGUAGAAUGCAAUUUGGUCUGUUUCUUAAGGGUGCUGGACUAAAGUUGGAGGAUGCUCUUGCGUUUUGGAGAGCGGAAUUUUCUCAGAAGGUCGGCUCUGAGCGGUUCGACAAGGAAUAUGCCUAUAGUAUCAGACAUAAUUAUGGAAAAGAAGGAAAACGGACAGAUUACACUCCAUAUUCAUGUCAAAAGAUCAUUUCUGCAACACCUGGUGUUGGCGACCACCAUGGUUGCCCUUAUCGACAUUUUGGUGAAGAGAAUUUGCGGGCAGCACUCAACAAAAUGGGCGUCAGUGGAUACGCAUUGGAAGAGAUAAUGGAUAAAGUGAAGAACAGACAUUACCAGCUAGCUUGCACAUUGACCUUUGAGGCAACACAUGGUGUCUCAUGUGACUCUGGAAUCAACCAUCCAAAUCAGUAUUUCAGUGAAAGCCAGAAAAUCUCACGAGCCAAAAACCAAACAGUGGAGAACCAAUCAGCGACUUAAAUUGUAUCGCUGCUGCAAAAUGUAUCAAUUCGCAAAAAGAAAUUCCCCUUUGAGUUGCUCAGCUCCAUCAUGCCCACAUUACUCAACUCUGAUGGAUGGGCACCAACUGAUCAUCCAAAAAUCAAAAUGCAUCAUUUAAGUGUCAGUCAGCGUCGAAUCAAGAUCCUCGCUUGUUGCUGAUAACGUGGUGAUCACCAAAUCGCUGAUCUUUGACGCCUCAUGGGAACGUUGUUGCUCCAACUGCGGGCUGUCAUAUAUAACGUACAAGAGAUGGCGCCACAUUGUGUACUAGUAGAAGUGUUAAUCAAUUGCCGGGCGAACAGCAGUGGGGCAACGCAUGUACAUGUAAAUCUUAUGUUUUUUAUUUUAAUGCACGAGCAGCGUACUUGCUGUAUAUGCUCAGCGAGUAAUAUAUUUUUACAGCUGCCACCGGUUGUUUAGGCUUAAUUAGGGAGGGUCCUCUGCCAUUUCAAAAUUGAGUAAAAUACAGGGCGGAGUAGAUAUGGGCGCUAGAAUUAGUGUAUGAAACUAUAGGACCGUAGAGAGAGAGAGAGUAGAUGCAACUCGUAUUGGAUUG